This 4629-nucleotide ribosomal RNA is filed under the name Triticum aestivum (bread wheat). Its description in RNAcentral is "partial small subunit ribosomal RNA". Lineage: Eukaryota; Viridiplantae; Streptophyta; Magnoliopsida; Poales; Poaceae. The record is from RNAcentral.
AUGCGUCGCCCAAAGCCGACGCCGUUGUCGAGCCGAACCAGCCGGCCUAGGGUUUCCCCCGGUCCCAAUCUGCAACACCAUCCCCAGAAGCACCGGAACCAGCAGCAUCCACCGGCCACAAGCGCAAAGGGGAAGGAGCGGGAAGGAGGGAGUAGCAGGCCUCCAGAUCUGGCGAGGACGAAGGCCCCCGAACUGCCGCCGCCAAGCGCCGACUCCCCACCACCCGAGCGGUCGAGGACGCCGGGCAGAGUCCCCGCGCACACCGUCCAGAGCGUGAACGACGGCGCCGAACCAGCAGGGGCCGCCGCCCCGUGGAUCCAGAUCUCCGCGAAAGGGACGAUGAAGUCCUCGCCGCCACCUUCCUCGGCAGCCGCGCGACGCAUCGGCGGCUCCUCUAGUGGCGACGAGAAGGAGAAGAAGGGGGAGGGGGACCACCGCCGGCGGCUAGGCACGCCCCGUCCAAUUCCAUGGACGACAUCGACGACCGGGACAUGCGCCCAAGCUGAUGAGGACAUCGUCGAGUCCGACCUCAACCUCUACUAUGAGGUCGUCCACCACGACUCCCAGCAGAGAUUUCAAUUCAGUGAUGCUCUGCUUCCUUCAUGGAGAAAGGGUCGAGCAGAGAAGGGUUCAAUGGACGGCGUUUGCGAGGAGAAAGAAGACCACCGGGACAGGAGGGAUCCCACGCCCGACGAGCUCGACGACCUAACAGAACCUCUAUGUACUGCUCAGGUCGUGAUGAUACUCUACCGGGUGGCUUCCGGCAUCGACCUUGACACCAUGAAGUACAUCCAUUUCCAAGCGACUCACUGUCCGAUGUUGCCCCUCAAGUAUGAUGCACUUGUAACCCGCGGCGUCACCUGUGCCUCAGCAGAUUACAUGGUGAAGAAGCUCCGUGUCGACAAGAGCAUCAUCCUGAAGCACUGCAUCCUCAACUACAAGCAGAUCGAUCGGCCGGUGCCCGCCUCUUCAACGUACGGAAAGAUGGCGUCCACCAACGCCAACGCUUGCGUGGGCGGCGCCCAAGCCAACUCAUCGGCGGCGGACCGGUGGUCCAGCGGCAUCCCCGAUGAUCUCCUAGCGAUAAGCUACCUCAGGCUCGCCAAGCCGAUCGACCGCGUCCGCUUUCCGGCUGUGUGCACGGCAUGGCGUGCCGUUGCGUCGAUGCACCUGGCACGCGGCCGUUUUCCAUGGCUCAUCCUUGACCCAAGCGGCAGCCACGAGACGAAUUAUGCCUACUGUCCAGAAGAGGGCAUGGUCCUGCCGCGGCCCUCUCUCCGCAGCGAGGCAGCCCGCCGGUGCUUUGUGGGCAGCCACGAUGGUGGCUGGGUCGCCUCAUCCGAGAUGAUCGUUAACCUCUUCUCCGGUGCUAAGAUGUCGCUCUUGCGGGAGGAUAUGGUCCACCCACGCCAGUGCAUCCAACGGCGUCUGACCCUGGCACCCCCGCCGGCAUCUGCCGGGCCGACGACGUCGCCGGCGACGGAGGUCUCGUCUGGUUCAAGGUUCUCUUGCCUGGGAUCGGAAAUUGAGUCCUCCGACGAGGAGGAUGCGCAGGCUGUCGGCGUGCAGCUAGCACUAGAAGUGCUUCGGGAGGAUGCUGAAGGUGGGAAGUGGACCACGGUGGAUCGCCGGAAGAAGAAAACGGAGGCGGAAUUGGUCCAGGAGUUCUGGAACGAUGCGGGCUUCCCGACGCCGGCGUCUCGCUUCUGGGAGCAUCGGUCGCCGGUGUCGCCGAGAGAGUCUUUGAUUCCUGAUGGAUCGGGGAUCGACGACGCAGAGGGAUCGGAGAUCGCAGGUUCGAGGUCGCCGUCGGUGGCCCCAGGGUUUGUCGGCCGCAAGCCUGUGUUGACGCCGGCCGGUUUGAGUAUGGCCCGGCCGCCGCGUAUGGGGGCUUGGCGAGGACCCCUGCCGCCGCGCCGGGUGACGCCUCCACCGGUGCUGGGGCAGUUCUUGGACGCGGCCAGGCGAAGCCCCACCUCGGCAAAUCGGCAGUGUACGCCGGCGACGGAAACUUCGCCGGGAUCUGAGGUUGUUCGGGAGCCGGGUUCGGGGCCGAGAUCACCGGGAAUUCAAACUCAUGUGGCCUCGGGCUUUGGGCCCAUGCAUGCAACGACGGAGACGGGCCAGACAGUGUUUUCCUGGGCCUUUCUGAAGUCGCGUAUGCGGGCGAUCUGGGCAGGUUUCCCUAAUCAGCAGACCGCGAUCACAGCAACUCCAUCGCUCAAUUCAUCGUCGCCCUCGUCCGCCGCCGAACCUCUGCACACCGCGCAGUCGCCGACUCCAGCUCCAGCUCCACCCCCAAGCGCCGGGGUCGUUGCCCGCUCCUACGCGGCGGUCGCGGCGACGCUUCAGCGCCCCAUGGCGGGCGUUCCUCCGACGGCUCGUGGCGCUGUAGCCUCGGGAGGGCCAAGCCCUCGUGCCCCUCCGAUCGUCGGGCCGACUCCCGCUCCUUCGCGUCCUUCGGCUCAGGCGCCGGGAUACUCCGGUCCUCCACAUCAGCAGCGGGGUCCGGCGCCGGUCUACAGCUAUGGCCCACCACUGCAGCAGUCCCCUGGAUAUGGCCAGGGAGGGCAGUACGCCUUGACGUACGUGUCUGAUGUGCAGGUGGAUACGGCGCCCAAGUACAAGGCUAAGAAAGGGUGUCCGGUUCUCAAACUCCCUAAACCCAAUGCUUUUGUUUCGGGAGUUGGUGCUGAGGAGACGUACUUUGUCCAGUUGCCUGAUUGCGUGGUGAAAAAUCACUUAGCACCAACACAGUCUCCGAUCGCCCGAGUUCAGGUUACCGGUUUAAUGGUACCGUCUAGUAUUGUUGAGAGCCAGAUUGCCAGGAGAUGCCCGGUACAUGAUCAAUGGAAGUGGGAGGCUAUUCAACAUGGGCAUGAUGCAUACCUUGUUAGCUUUCCAUCUUUCGAGGACUUGGACAGGGUGGAUGGUAUACAGAUGACCGUUCCGUCUGUUAAUUCUCAGAUGACCGUUACAGCAUGGAGGUCUCAGGAGGUCCCACAUAAGCUAGAGCUCCAGAAGAUUUGGCUCCAUGUCGAGGGGGUUCCCCAUACGGUGCGCCAUUUUUGGGGCUUAUGGGCCGUGGGUACUUUGAUGGGCAAGACCUUGGACGUGGAUCUUAUUAGCCUGCGUCGCCGUGGAGUUGUUCGUAUUCUCGUGGGUAUGACUAACUCUCAGAUUUUGUCAAAGGACAAGGACGACGCUGGGCCUUUUGUUGCUUCAGAUGUGGUGGUUAAGCUCAAGGGCUACACUUUCACGUUCAGGAGGGAGCCGGCAGGAUACAUUCCGGACCCUGACUUUGUCCCGUUCAUUUGGAGACGCAAGGGUGAUGAUGCUGACGAUGAUAGCGGCGCUAAGGAGAAGGAUGAUGAGAUGGACACUUCGGAACACACUGGAAAUCCGUCGAACCAUCCGUCGUCUAGUUUAGCACCGAAGGAUAACACUCAUGUGACUCAAGAUCAACGCCGGGAACUGUCGAGUGCUGGCUCUGGUGGUGCAACGAGAGGUGGUCCUGUGCUUUGGGCGGUCACUCCGUUUAACUCUUCGCCGCAGACGCCAAGAGGCAUGGAGCUUGUCGCGAAUCUUAGAGUCAACUCCACUUUGAGUAGUCCUCUCGGAAGAUCGCCGCGGGAUCAUACACAGGACUCGUCCUCAACUCCUUCACCGUGCGCUUUGUUUGCAUCGCAGCCCGCGCCGCAUUCUCAGCCGGCAUCAUCGCAGUCCGCUGCCCUCCAGUCGGUGCAAGACACCGGCGGCUCGGCGGGGCGCCUGGAAUCUUCUUCAGUGCACCUACAACCUGCUGCGAAGGUGGCGUCGCAGCCGCCGCCGCCGACGCGGACGGCGGCAGCCAAGCCGGCCGUCUUCAAGCCGGUGCAGACCGCCAGAGGCAUAGCGGGACGUCCGGUCACGCCUGUGAUGAGCCGGCAACCCAUGGCUUCGGUUGAGGCGGACAAGCAUGCAGCUCACGUGGAGCUAGACAUGCAUGCAGCUCACGUAGAGCUAGACAUGCAUGCUUCUAGUGGGCUUGGACGUGUAGGCCUACCCCAGGGUGUGCAGCCAUGCAUAGUUGAACCUACGGCUGCUGUUCAGUCUCAGUCGGAGCCGGACGUGUCCACUGCUGCUCUUGGGUCUCAGGCAGAGCCUGACGUGGUCGCCUCACCCAUGCCUGCAGUCAGGCCAUCUUUGGCAGUGGCGCCACGUGUACCGGCGGUCGAGAUUGCCGGGGAGGGGGUUGCUACUCCACCCUCAUCCCCUCCUCCGGCAGCAGUGCAUGCGCGACAUCCUUCACCGGGGGUGACAUCCACACGCCGAAGUGCUCGACAUGCGGUGGCCGAUGAUGGAAGGACGGACACCGACGAGGACUCUUUGACCAAGGCUAUGCGGCGUAAAGCUGUGCAGAACCUUGACAACCAAGGAAAUAAUGAGAAUGAUAUUUCUGUUUCCGCAAACGCUUUGAGACAUUUGGAAUAUGACCGAUUGAAGGUUACUCCACAAGUUUCUAGCAAAUCUUUUAUCUCACAUCUAGAUGAGGAGGAGCUGCAUGCCACAUCAGAUGGUCAGCUACUCGCUCAUGUAGUAGGGGAGGUUUCGGACGUGGGUUUGGAGGAACCGGGCUUAGUUCAUUGA